This 713-nucleotide ribosomal RNA is filed under the name uncultured bacterium. RNAcentral's name for it is "bacterial SSU rRNA". It matches the Rfam family "Bacterial small subunit ribosomal RNA", at positions 166 to 883 of the family's 1533-position model. The record is from RNAcentral.
ACACGAUAUGCGGUUCACAGCAGGCAUCUAACGUGAACGAAAUGUGAAGGAGAAGGAUGGGGAUGCGUCUGAUUAGCUUGUUGGCGGGGUAACGGCCCACCAAGGCGACGAUCAGUAGGGGUUCUGAGAGGAAGGUCCCCCACAUUGGAACUGAGACACGGUCCAAACUCCUACGGGAGGCAGCAGUGAGGAAUAUUGGUCAAUGGACGAGAGUCUGAACCAGCCAAGUAGCGUGCAGGAUGACGGCCCUAUGGGUUGUAAACUGCUUUUAUAGGGGGAUAAAGUGUGUCACGUGUGGCAUAUUGCAGGUACCCUAUGAAUAAGGACCGGCUAAUUCCGUGCCAGCAGCCGCGGUAAUACGGAAGGUCCAGGCGUUAUCCGGAUUUAUUGGGUUUAAAGGGAGCGUAGGCCGUUUGGUAAGCGUGUUGUGAAAUGUCGGGGCUCAACCUGGGCAUUGCAGCGCGAACUGCCAGACUUGAGUGCGCAGGAAGUAGGCGGAAUUCGUCGUGUAGCGGUGAAAUGCUUAGAUAUGACGAAGAACUCCGAUUGCGAAGGCAGCCUGCUGUAGCGCAACUGACGCUGAAGCUCGAAAGCGUGGGUAUCGAACAGGAUUAGAUACCCUGGUAGUCCACGCGGUAAACGAUGGAUGCUCGCUGUUUGCGUCUGACGUAAGCGGCCAAGCGAAAGCGUUAAGCAUCCCACCUGGGGAGUAC